ACAGUCUAAAUUAAAGGGGGGGACCUGCCCACUGUAGUAUUUAAAGGGCCGCGGUAUUAUGACCGUGCAAAGGUAGCAUAAUCAUUAGUCUUUUAAUUGAGGGCUGGAAUGAAUGGUUUGACGAGAUGCUAACUGUCUCAUUGUUAUAUAUAUAGAAGUUAACUUUUAAGUUAAAAGGCUUAAGUAUAGAUAAAGGACGAGAAGACCCUAUAAAGCUUUAUAUAUAAUGAAUAUUGAUUUAAGUUUAGGUGUAUAAUUAAGUUUUUAUUAGUAUAUUUUGUUGGGGUGACAUAAAGAUAAACUGAACUCUUUAUUUUAUAUACAUUAAUUUAUGGGUAGAUGAUCCAUUUAUAGUGAUCAAAAGAUUAAGUUACUUUAGGGAUAACAGCGUAAUUUUUUUUAAGAGUUCAUAUCAACAAAGAAGAUUGCGACCUCGAUGUUGGAUUAAGGAUAUGGUUAGGUGUAGCAGUUUAAUUAAUAGGUCUGUUCGACCUUUAAAUCCUUACGUGAUCUGAGUUCAGACCGG
RNAcentral lists this ribosomal RNA (526 nucleotides) under Phaneroptera nigroantennata. RNAcentral's name for it is "partial 16S large subunit ribosomal RNA". It matches the Rfam family "Bacterial large subunit ribosomal RNA", at positions 1834 to 2619 of the family's 2925-position model. The record is from RNAcentral. Lineage: Eukaryota; Metazoa; Arthropoda; Insecta; Orthoptera; Tettigoniidae.